This is a long non-coding RNA of Mus musculus (house mouse), 4275 nucleotides long. RefSeq annotates it as predicted gene, 30723. The transcript is spliced from 3 exons. NCBI's taxonomy places the organism in Eukaryota, Metazoa, Chordata, Mammalia, Rodentia, Muridae. The record is from RefSeq and is a predicted model, not a curated record.
CCUUCUAAGUGCUGGAAUUAAAGGUAUAUGCCAUUACAUCUGGCUAGCAUUCCAAAAUUUAAAACAAGGAGAAACUUUAUUAAACUAGAUCUUUUGGUCCAGUGGCUCUAAUGUUCUGAAGAAGUCUAUGUUUCAAGAAGCAUGCAAAUAGAACAGAAGCAGAAUUUAGCAUUCCUUGUCCUUGGCUAUGUUAAAAAUAAGGCUCUCAAUGUAAAAGAACAGUUUAAGAUGUUUGGUAUAAGCUAAACUUAAUAAAUGUAUAGCAUAUAAUUCCCCCCCCCCCCGAUUCACUAAAGUCAGGUUGAAGACCUAUGGUGGCACAUCACAGGCACAAGCUGUUGCUAUUAUUUUAUUAAAUGGAUAUGAUGUGCCUGUCAAAUCACCUUUUAAAUAUUUAUGUUUAUGUAUGCAGAAUACUAGUGCUGACAGUCUCACUUAUAGAAAACAUCUCUUUUGCAAAAGGUUACUGUAGAAAUUCAUAACUGGUCUAGUGAUUGAGGUUAAGUGACUUUUGUUUUGGCAUUUAGAAAUGAAGAAAAUAAUCAGAUAUUUGUAUCAUCCCCUCCAAGACUCAGGAAACACAGCGAAGAGAGAACAGAACUAAUUUAAGAGUUUGAAAAUGGUUUGGGCUAGUAUGUAGCUAUUUUAUCUGAAUGGAAAUAUUCCUUCCUAGAAGAAGGUAGGAUGCUUGUAAAAUUCAGGAAGCACAUGAAACCUACAAAUUCAAGAUCACAGGAUUCUGAAGUUACAGAUGAAAUAUUUUAUUGCUGUGGGAAAAUGGCACUUUGGUGUUUGCAAGUCAGGCAGGGAAGUUAGUGUUUUGUUCAUUUUUAUGACUGUUAUUCAUGCUGAAGGAGGCUUUUCAGUGAUGCCAUAUCUAAAUGUCACCCACACUCCUAUAAGUAGCACUAAUACAUUCAUUGGCUCUCGAAGUUAGAAUGGCUUCUUUGGCUUGUUGUUGGUUUCCUAGCUGUGUUGAAUAUAUAUUGUUCACGAGGUCCAAGGAGGAGUCACACAGUAGCUACUUCCCAAGGCUAUCAUGAGAAUCUGAGGAGAUUACAUUGGUCAAUCAUUUAAUACAACGAUUGGUACAUGCAUAGCUAAUAUAAGUAAAGAUUAUUAUAUCCUUCAAAGCAAGUGGUGAGGCUAGGAUAGUUCCCUUUGAGCUAUGGUGUUCUCUGGUUGACUUUUGUUUAGAAGCAGGUUCCUGACAGCCUAAUCCUACCCUUCCACCAUCACAUGUGCAGGAGCUAGGACACUGCUUCUAGAAUGUGAUUUCCUAGUAACACGAAACAUGUGAUGCUACAGGUAUAGUCAUUGGCUUGGAUUUAUUUUGUCCAGCAUGGAAUCAGGGCACCUCAAGACUUCAAAGAUUUUUGGUUGCUCUAGCCUCUUUUUAAUCACUCACCAUGGCUGAAUGACCCAUAUUUUUUCAAGACUGCUAUAAAAUAGAGAUGGAAGUGAGCGCUGAAUCUAAGCACUGUGGCUCUCUGUCAUAUAUAUUUUCUUGGUUUCUAUCCAGCCUUAUUUUAAAUAUCCCCAGGGAUGGGCUUUCAUCACUUUACUUGGAAGAUUUUCGUGUACAGUAAUUUUUACUGUCAGAAAAUUUUCUCUCUCAUUUGGGGUGAAAUUUUCUUUUUGUUCUUUCUUUUUUUAAAAAAUUACUCUAUUAGUUAUUCUGUGCUAAAUCUGAUUAAAUAAUUCUUCCUGCCUACUUAGUAUUUCUCCUGUCAGAUUUUUGCAGUCAGUUAUUAGCCCCCCCCCAAUCAUUAUUUUUCAACCCCAGACAUCCUCUUUAUCUUUAAUCACUUUUCCUAACUCACUCCUCUAUCACUGUGAUCAUUAUUCUCACUGUUCUGAAUUAAUACACCUACUUUUUGGAAGGUGACUUCAGUAUCUUAAGUUUAAUGCUCCCUUGAAAGUAAAACACACUAACAUCUGUUUUACAUUUUACUGAAACGUUACAUUGCAAUCUUGUAAAUAAAACCAAAUUAACCUACUGUUUUAACAAUGGUUAUUGUUACUUUGCACUUUUCCUUUUUCCUUUUGAAGCAUUUGAAGUACUGAUAUUUUUGUCUACUCGGUGGCAGUUUGUAGGAAGUGUUGUGCUAAAUACUUCCUCUGCACUGUCCUAGCUGCCAUUCCUGCAGCAUGUGUGUGAGCAUUCUAACUCCCAUUUCACAUCUGGGGAAACUAAGGUUCAGAGAAGUUUAAUCAGUUUGCCUAACCUCUGGCUCCAGAGACUACUCACCUUUUUAUGGGCGAGUAAUUUCAAAGAAUCUGCAGCAACUUUUAUAAGUUCCAGACUUCAGCAGACCCUCCUGGUAAAGACAUGAGACCUUGUUCGGUGGCUGUGCAGAGCCACCCUCCUGCCACCCAAAUGGAAAUACUUCACAGUUGCUCUGAAAAUAGGAGCUGCUAAGUCUGUCACAUUCAGAGGGAGAUUUCACAGUCCUCUAAGUUCAAGGUAAUUUCUUUAACUUUUUCCCCAUCAACUUUCAGGAUCUUGUGUAAUUUGGGUGGAUGUAACUGCUUUUUUCCUUAAUUCCAAUCCAUCAUUCUGAUCCAUCAAUCUGUCUCCUCUUGCAUUGUAGGUCACACUACUGAGGUUAUCUUAAUGAUGGGUGACACUUUCCCAGAGAAAGUAGUUGGUAGGUCUUGAAUAGCCUUGGUUUCCUCCAUUGCCGUCCAUUUUUGUUUUGUUAUUCUCUGAGGUACAGAUCUGUUGAUGCCAUCAACACCUCUCAGAGUGAUCUUACGAGUUCAAAACAUUUCUUUUACUGCUUUAUUUUCUCUUUCCAGUCUUUUGUUUUCCUUGUGACUUUCUUCUUGUUAAAAAGUCAUUCAUGCACCAUGCACCACCUGAUGCCUAGGCCAAUUUUCAGCAGUUAGUUUUUCCCAUGGUCUAUCCUGCUCACUGGCUGAGAAUCAGAGAACCCAAUGGCUGAACAGAUGACUGCUUGCAAACUUUCCAGAUCUGUGACUCAGGUCUUGAGCCAGUAUGUAGAAGGUACCCUCGAGACCCUCGAAUAACUGGACCUGCUGGAUGGGUCAAGUGGCGCCAGACGUGGGGCACGAGGUACGACCACCGUCCGGACAACGGAUUCAAGAGGUACCACUCAGACAGUGAGACAGUUCCCUGCCACUUUGCUCGAGUGUUGCGGACGUCGAGAGCGCAUCUGUUUCAGUUCAUUACCAUCGGCUGGAUGUUGGUGAUAACAAGCAGGUUACUGGAGAAGAGUCAGACGUGGAUGCAGCUUCAUCACCCUUGUCUUGGGGGAGAGAGACUCAAUUUCCAUAAAAUGCUUAAGCAAGAUCAUUCCCUUCCCCCUAAAUUCAGCCUCAUACCACGAAUCAUUUAUAGAUUGCCAUAGUCUGUGCUUCCGACAUGGUAAUAUACAUUCUCACCACAUUGGAAACUAAACAGUCAUCCCAGGCUAGACACAUCGUAAAAUUGGAACUUGAAGCCAUCGGCUGUGAGAGUUGUAAGGCUAAAGCACUGCACAGAGAUUAGUCUGGAAGCUGUUAGACAGUCUCUGAGAGGCAUGUCGGAUUGCAUGAAGGUUGAGUGCCCUAGGGUCCUUCCCCCAGGAAAAAAACGGCACGGGAGCAGGUCAGGGUUACUCUGGGUAAAAAUCUGUGGACCUGAGAGUCAAUCCUGUACAUGGCCCUUAACAUUGCACACUGGGGAUCAGACCUCUACCUCUACCCACGGAGCUUGCUUUGUUCCUAAAUCCCUUGGUUAGCCCAAGUUAUACCCAAAAGACUGGAACCGUUAAUUCAAGCCUCAUAGAUGACUUGUCCUUGUGUCCUUCAUGGUUUUAGAGAAUCACCCAGUGAACAAACAGACGUUUAGGCAGUCGUUAAAAACGUGGCUACAAAUUUAUUAUACAAUAUGCCUUUAUAAAAAUAUUAAAACAGGGGAGAUAUUGGGAGCUAUUAAGACAACACCAUUGUCCUGAUCUCUGAAUUGGGCCUCUCCCCCUGAGAAGAAAAGGGGGUCAAAAGCGGGCCACUGAUGCACCGUUCUGAGAACAACCACAGAAUGUUCCAGUCCUAAGUCAGUGCCAGAUGUCCUGACCUCAAGAUGUACCCUGAUACCGCCAAGUUCCUGCUUCCCCAUGUAGUCGCCAAAAGAAAAAUUUCUGCUGCCCCAUCCCUCCUGCUGAGGUGCAUUUCUGCUGCCCCAUUCCUCCUGCUGAGAAGUACUUCCCCUUUUGCUUGUGCAUUUAAACCUUGAGCCUUGCUAAUACAGUGAGACCUUGAUGUUACUCA